UUGAACGCUGGCGGCAUGCCUUACACAUGCAAGUCGAACGGUAACAGGUCUUCGGAUGCUGACGAGUGGCGAACGGGUGAGUAAUACAUCGGAACGUGCCCGAGAGUGGGGGAUAACGAAGCGAAAGCUUUGCUAAUACCGCAUACGAUCUCAGGAUGAAAGCAGGGGACCGCAAGGCCUUGCGCUCACGGAGCGGCCGAUGGCAGAUUAGGUAGUUGGUGGGAUAAAAGCUUACCAAGCCGACGAUCUGUAGCUGGUCUGAGAGGACGACCAGCCACACUGGGACUGAGACACGGCCCAGACUCCUACGGGAGGCAGCAGUGGGGAAUUUUGGACAAUGGGCGCAAGCCUGAUCCAGCCAUGCCGCGUGCAGGAUGAAGGCCUUCGGGUUGUAAACUGCUUUUGUACGGAACGAAAAGACUCUGGUUAAUACCUGGGGUCCAUGACGGUACCGUAAGAAUAAGCACCGGCUAACUACGUGCCAGCAGCCGCGGUAAUACGUAGGGUGCGAGCGUUAAUCGGAAUUACUGGGCGUAAAGCGUGCGCAGGCGGUUAUGUAAGACAGAUGUGAAAUCCCCGGGCUCAACCUGGGAACUGCAUUUGUGACUGCAUAGCUAGAGUACGGCAGAGGGGGAUGGAAUUCCGCGUGUAGCAGUGAAAUGCGUAGAUAUGCGGAGGAACACCGAUGGCGAAGGCAAUCCCCUGGGCCUGUACUGACGCUCAUGCACGAAAGCGUGGGGAGCAAACAGG
Molecule: ribosomal RNA, 750 nt
Filed under: uncultured beta proteobacterium
Lineage: Bacteria; Pseudomonadati; Pseudomonadota; Betaproteobacteria
Description: bacterial SSU rRNA
Rfam family: Bacterial small subunit ribosomal RNA
Source: RNAcentral